GACGGGUUUAUGCAAGUCUUCUAAAUUUGUUUUGGAUAAUUCCGCCCGUUU
RNAcentral lists this transfer RNA (51 nucleotides) under Nematodirus oiratianus. RNAcentral describes it as "tRNA-Ser". Lineage: Eukaryota; Metazoa; Nematoda; Chromadorea; Rhabditida; Molineidae. The record is from RNAcentral.